AAUGCAGAGUGAGAACUUUCUCUACCGUGUUUGAUAAAUGUUGUCCAGGUUCUAUUGCCAAGAAUGUGUUGUCCAAAAUGCCUGUUUAGUUUUUAAAGAUCAACUCCACCCUUUGCUUGGUUUUAAGUAUGUAUGGAAUGUUAUGAUAGGACAUAGUACUAGCGGUGGUCAGACAUGGAAAUGGUGGGGAGACAAAAAUAUACAUGUGAAAUAAAACUCAGUAUUUUAAUAAAGUAAAAAAAAAAAA
RNAcentral lists this long non-coding RNA (247 nucleotides) under Homo sapiens (human). Its description in RNAcentral is "long non-coding RNA NONHSAT250257". The record is from RNAcentral. Lineage: Eukaryota; Metazoa; Chordata; Mammalia; Primates; Hominidae.